This 610-nucleotide ribosomal RNA is filed under the name uncultured Agaricomycetes. Its description in RNAcentral is "eukaryotic LSU rRNA". The stretch from base 194 to 347 matches the Rfam family "5.8S ribosomal RNA". The record is from RNAcentral. Lineage: Eukaryota; Fungi; Basidiomycota; Agaricomycetes.
UCCGUAGGUGAACCUGCGGAAGGAUCAUUAUCGAGUACGCCGUUGGGGACUGUGCUGGCCUUCGGGCAUGUGCACGUCCCCUUCAUUUCCACACACCUCGUGCACCUCUAGGUGGCUCUCCCGACGGAGGCCGCCUGCUUUUUUUACAUGCGCUUUUUCUGUGUAUAAUGGGGUGUCUUGUCUAAAUAGUAACAACUUUCAACAACGGAUCUCUUGGCUCUCGCAUCGAUGAAGAACGCAGCGAAAUGCGAUAAGUAAUGUGAAUUGCAGAAUUCAGUGAAUCAUCGAAUCUUUGAACGCACCUUGCGCUCCCCGGUAUUCCGAGGAGCAUGCCCGUUUGAGAGUCAUGAAAACCCUCAGCCCCUCAUCGCCUCUGGUGUUGGGUUGGACUUGGACGCCUGCUGCGACCUUUUCGGUCUCGCGGCUCGUCUCAAAUGCAUUAGUCGACUCCGUUGGGACCUCGCCUUUGACGUGAUAGACAUCGUCGUCGAGGUUGGGACCCGACUUGAAGGAGCGGCUCACAACCGUCUUCGGACAGCGCUUUUGACACUUUUGACCUCAAAUCGGGUAGGACUACCCGCUGAACUUAAGCAUAUCAAUAAGCGGAGGA